Molecule: long non-coding RNA, 1726 nt
Organism: Aedes albopictus (Asian tiger mosquito)
Lineage: Eukaryota; Metazoa; Arthropoda; Insecta; Diptera; Culicidae
Exons: 2
Source: RefSeq, a predicted model, not a curated record
AAAAAAAAAAUACACAGUUAAUAAAGGUCCCAUUAGACAUGACAAAUAUUUGGUCAAACCCGCCCAACAAAUGAACAACAAAACGUAAAUCAUAGCAACCUUGGAUGAAUGUCGGGCUUCCAUGGCAAAUAUUUGGCAUGAUGACAAACAGUCUCUAUGGCACCUUUAAGCUGGUGAAUUUUCAUGACAAGUAGCACAAUGGAUACCCCUGCAUGUUUUAUGCUAUAGGGCACUGCAUGAAAUUCUCUCCUUCUCUUUUACUCUAACAGAAAUUUUGUUAACAACAAGGCCAAGAAACGUCAAAAUCCCAUACAUAAUCAAAACAAUGCAGUGCCCUAUACCUUUGAUUACAUCGACUAGAGACUGUAUAUAUAGAGACAUGCAAAGACGACUUUUUUAUUGUUGUUCUUCUUCUUCGCCAGACUUUGUUUUCAUAAUUUUGCUGGCGUGCUCGAUAGGUACAGUUCGAUAGGUAAAUUUGGUUUCACUCUUUGCGGGACUGUGUUAUAAACAGACUGUAACAUCGACCAGUUAAGUAAUUUGCCUACGGAGAUCAACACCACAGAUAUAAUAUUAUGCCUCUCAAGAAAAAUCAGAAUAUGGCGAUUAUCUGCCUCUGGCUUCUGAUAUUAGCGCGACAGUCACUAAUCAUAACAGCGUCACCAGAUUUAGAAGUAUAUAAUUCCACUAUAUGGGGUUUGACAGCAAGAACACUCAUUCCACUGAGCUACUCUUGCCGUUCGUCACAAAUACAUUCAAAAACAUCUGUCACUUCGCGAAACCCACGUGCUUUUGUUUUUGGCGGAAACACUUUUUCUUUUGUUUUGCCUUGCGACUGUCAUGCGGCGGUAUGCAUUGCGAGCGUACGACCGCCGCAGGACUCUAAUAAAAGAUAAGCGCGACAAUACCCCGCAUAGAAAUAAAAAACGCUUGACAUAAAGUCCAAACAGUAAAUUUGCCCUAGCUGAAAAGGUUAGUUUUUCUCAAAAACUUAUUUUAUUGUUGAACAGUGUAAAACCAGGAGCUGUUGCCUAUAAACAACAGUUUGGUCAAACCAUGUCUGACAGUAGCACUAUAUAGUACUCUCCACGCAUUGUUCAACAAUAUGGCGAUGUAAACUUCUUUAAUAUUGUGGCAAUAUGAGGUUACCCCAUAUCAAAAUGUUGGCCUUCAUAUUUGCACAACACACCAACACCAGUGCAAUUUACUAUAAUUCACUUCUAUUCGAUACUUUGGCAAACAGUUAAACGCUAUUGUGUUUGUGAUGUCGCUCACCUGAUGAAAAAAUAAACGCUUCUCAAGACACAACCUGCAAAAUCAACAACAUCGUUUGGUCAGUAACGUUCCCAGGGAGGCUUUUUUCACUGCGGUCGCAGUGAAACCCGGGGAUAAACAGCAGUCGAGCCCUGGGCAGGCAUAAACGAAAUCAUCGAGCUAGUUUUGAGGGCCGGAUGUACCGCAUACGUUGGCCAAACAGCUGCUGGAUAUGGCCGAAUCAGAUUCAGCGCAUGGUAAUUACCAGAUGGUGCAUUAUUUGAUUGGCUGUUGGAUUAGUACUAUCGCACCGUAGGCGGGACAUGAGCAUCGAAUGGAAACGAUUCGGAGGCAAAAAGGAUCAAGCGAAUGAUACAAUGAACGCCGGGAAUCAAGGAGGGAUCGAUCAACCCAGCUCCAGAGUUCGGAAGCUUUUCAUCCACACAGCUCGGAUAGAUGAUAUACGAGGUGG